This 1368-nucleotide ribosomal RNA is filed under the name uncultured bacterium. RNAcentral's name for it is "bacterial SSU rRNA". It matches the Rfam family "Bacterial small subunit ribosomal RNA". The record is from RNAcentral.
GAGUUUGAUCCUGGCUCAGGACGAACGCUGGCGGCGCGCCUAACACAUGCAAGUCGAACGAGCGAGAGAGAGCUUGCUUUCUCAAGCGAGUGGCGAACGGGUGAGUAACGCGUGAGGAACCUGCCUCAAAGAGGGGGACAACAGUUGGAAACGACUGCUAAUACCGCAUAAGCCCACAGCUCGGCAUCGAGCAGAGGGAAAAGGAGCAAUCCGCUUUGAGAUGGCCUCGCGUCCGAUUAGCUAGUUGGUGAGGUAAUGGCCCACCAAGGCGACGAUCGGUAGCCGGACUGAGAGGUUGAACGGCCACAUUGGGACUGAGACACGGCCCAGACUCCUACGGGAGGCAGCAGUGGGGAAUAUUGCACAAUGGGGGAAACCCUGAUGCAGCGACGCCGCGUGGAGGAAGAAGGUCUUCGGAUUGUAAACUCCUGUUGUUGAGGAAGAUAAUGACGGUACUCAACAAGGAAGUGACGGCUAACUACGUGCCAGCAGCCGCGGUAAAACGUAGGUCACAAGCGUUGUCCGGAAUUACUGGGUGUAAAGGGAGCGCAGGCGGGAAGACAAGUUGGAAGUGAAAUCUAUGGGCUCAACCCAUAAACUGCUUUCAAAACUGUUUUUCUUGAGUAGUGCAGAGGUAGGCGGAAUUCCCGGUGUAGCGGUGGAAUGCGUAGAUAUCGGGAGGAACACCAGUGGCGAAGGCGGCCUACUGGGCACCAACUGACGCUGAGGCUCGAAAGUGUGGGUAGCAAACAGGAUUAGAUACCCUGGUAGUCCACACCGUAAACGAUGAUUACCAGGUGUUGGAGGAUUGACCCCUUCAGUGCCGCAGUUAACACAAUAAGUAAUCCACCUGGGGAGUACGACCGCAAGGUUGAAACUCAAAGGAAUUGACGGGGGCCCGCACAAGCAGUGGAGUAUGUGGUUUAAUUCGACGCAACGCGAAGAACCUUACCAAGUCUUGACAUCCCUUGACGAACAUAGAAAUAUGUUUUCUCUUCGGAGCAAGGAGACAGGUGGUGCAUGGUUGUCGUCAGCUCGUGUCGUGAGAUGUUGGGUUAAGUCCCGCAACGAGCGCAACCCUUACUGUCAGUUACUACGCAAGAGGACUCUGGCGGGACUGCCGUUGACAAAACGGAGGAAGGUGGGGAUGACGUCAAAUCAUCAUGCCCUUUAUGACUUGGGCUACACACGUACUACAAUGGCGUUAAACAAAGAGAAGCAAGACCGCGAGGUGGAGCAAAACUCAGAAACAACGUCCCAGUUCGGACUGCAGGCUGCAACUCGCCUGCACGAAGUCGGAAUUGCUAGUAAUCGUGGAUCAGCAUGCCACGGUGAAUACGUUCCCGGGCCUUGUACACACCGCCCGUC